RNAcentral lists this transfer RNA (68 nucleotides) under Candidatus Aerophobota bacterium. RNAcentral's name for it is "Candidatus Aerophobetes bacterium tRNA-Thr". The record is from RNAcentral. Lineage: Bacteria; Candidatus Aerophobota.
AGUCCGGUAGAAAUAUCGGGUAGCUUGUAACCACUAGGUUACAGGUUCGAGUCCUGUCCGGGGAGCCA